Molecule: RNA transcript, 3495 nt
Organism: Poecilia reticulata (guppy)
Lineage: Eukaryota; Metazoa; Chordata; Actinopteri; Cyprinodontiformes; Poeciliidae
Source: RefSeq, a predicted model, not a curated record
UUUCUAUUAAAAAAAUGUUUGACUCAAUUCAAACUUACUACAAGGACACCACAGGCUAAAAUGAUUGAUGAACUUUGCAAUUAGCUCAUACAAUAAAUAUAUAUUUAUGUGUAUCUUUGGAUAUAAAUAAAUAAAUUAAAUAAAUAAAUAGUUAUACGGGUCAUUUAACUUCCCUUCAAGAGUGACUCUAAUUUAAUUUGGUAUUUUAUCCUAGAAUUUUAAAGUUCCAAAAAAUAAAAACAUUUAAAUUACACCCUUUUGUACGAGCUGUUAUGUAGUAAAACAUUUUUUUAAAUACAUUCUGCAGAUCCAAAAGAGCGUUUUGCUUCAUGGGAGCCCAUAAAACACACAGGAGCAGCUGGAGCAUUGUUUAUGAUUUUUCUGCAAGCUUUGCUUCCCAAACCCCAAUAAAUGUAGACGUGAUCCAUAAACACACUUAAAAAAAAAUUCUGAUUUUGGUUAUAAAAUUCGUCACUGAACUUGCUGGGUGAUUUACGCACACAAGUUUUGGUUUAUGCAUGACUGCACGCUGGGGUAGAAUUUCCUUUUUUAUUAUUUUUUUUUUUUAUUUUUUUCGAGCAGAAAUUAAGGCACAAAUGUUCGCGUUUUGAGUUAAUAACUGUUGACUUAUAGUUCCUUUAUCACUUUAAAGGCUGACGAUAUCUCAGACUCGGUAAGAAGAAUAAGGCUUGAGGGUGAGGAGGGAGGGAGGGGGCAUCAGAGACCCUCUCUUUCCCUCUAAAACAAAGACGCUUUGUCAUAAACUGGGUUAUUUUACAAAAAGGAGUCAAGGGGCGGCAUAUGUGGUCUUAACGGGUCAGAGGUCAAACAUCCAUGAAACGCAAGGUCGCCGAAGCCACACAAGUAACCUUCCAGCGUGUCAACAUAUUGAUACUGUCGGGCCAACAGAGAGGAGGAACGGUCCUUAUAAUAACGCAGCCGGAGCGCCCCUUAUGUGAUCAAGAUUGCAGGUUUUAUUGAUGGCGUUUCCCCCGCACGCAGUGCUGAGGCUGUCACUGCGUUCCGUGAGCUCUCACUUCCCAUUUUGACUCACAUUUCCAGUGAUUUAUGGUACUACAUCUGCAGAACGGCUCUCAAUGUGUAAUAUAGUGCCUCUAAUAACCUGUUGAAAUACUGCUCUUUGGGGGGAUUUUGCAAUGGGCCAGACCCUCUUUUUUUUCUCCUUCUUCUUCUUUCUUUUCCUUCAGCUAGAAGAGAGCUGCAGCCUUCCCCUAUUGAUUUUUUUCCCCUUUUUCUUCUUCUUUUUUUAAUUUUCUUUAUGCCUUUCUCUCUAUCUGGGGAAUGCUCCCUGGUUAUCCCACAAAAAUAAAGAACUUCUUAUAGGGGUCGGCAGACGUGACUUUGAACUUGGAUCAGCUCCUGCGUUUCCUGUGGCGCGGGUUGAAAUAGACUUGGGAGAAUGGCGCACACACAGCGGCCCCAGCCUCCCCCCGUUAACAUCGAGCCAGGAGACACAAUUUUUAAGAAGAAAAAAAAAGUAAAAAAAAAAAAAAAAAAAACUUUCCCUAGGCUUUCACCGUUAUUUGUCGCCCAGAGUCCGUAGAGUCGAGACUGACAGAGGGCUCCUCUGUGGUGAACGGGACAAGGGAGCCUGCGUGGAUUUUUAUGUGGUGAAAAUGGCGAAGGUGAUGAAAGCCCUUAGGGGAAGAGAACUAACCAAUUGAAAGCCAUUUAAAGAAGAGAAAGCUGCAGCCUCGCUUCUAGGGGAGCUGACCUGGGCAGCAGCGCAGAGACCGAGCGGGGGCCCCCGGCAUCCGACUGAACGAAGCACUGGACAAAGAAGAAAAGACRACUGAGGACAUAUGCAAUCUUCUUUUUGGUGUUUUUUUAAGCACUUCAAUCUGAACUUUAAAAGUUAGAUUAAUUAAAACAUUUKUAUCUUGAGAUUCUUAAAUCUGUAUAAUUAGAUGUGAUUUGUAAGCACAUCUAAUUAUUGCUAUUUUCUAAAUGUAACUUGUGUUUUUUUGUUGUUGUUYUGUUUUGUUUUUUUCUGGCGUAAGUGUAAAGUUCAGCUUGGAGUUGUUACCUUUUUGCUCCAAGAAAGUUUCAUGUGGGGAGAAAAACAUAAAAAAAUUUAAAAAAUCACUUUAUAUUUAGAAAAGUCACACAAAUUAUUAAUGGCCUGUUUUUGCCUCCUCUGAUAUUUGAAUGCUAUCAAAUUAACACUUCCUGAAGAAGCAGGGGUUGUAUUAAGAAUCCCAAGUUCCCCACCAAGCUGAGGUGAGAAAAUAUUCCAGGGGGCAGUUUGAUAAUAACCAGGGACAGARGGUAAAACUAUUCCCUCACUCAAGUUUCUCAGGGUGAAUUAAUUAGGUAAGGGAAGCAGUGAGAUAUGAACUACUAUAUAUAAUUUACACCGCACCUCCUGCAAGACGAACUGCAAUUUGAGGUAAGGAAAACCCCGAUGAAAGAUAAUGAUUUUAAUCAAAAAGAAAGUGUUGGGUGACAUUAGUCAUGUAAAUCAUAUUUCUGUAACACAUCCUGGGAAGUUUUAAAGUCAAGUAAAAUAGUUAAUAUUCCUGCGCUGGCUGUGUCAAAAAUUAGGAUCCAUCUUGCGCCGCUGUGAUGUAUAGAUGAGUUAAUUAAGCACAUCGAUUGGGGCCGAAUUGAUGCAGCGUGUGGAUUUUUAAUUAGUGCAUGCUUGAGUGUGUUAAAACUCUUGUGGGCUAUCUGAGUGGAACCAAGUGGAACUGAGCGUGUCAGUACAGAACACGGCUCGGCGUACCCCAAACAAAACCCWGACUGCCACCGAUUCUCUUUCAAAACCCUUCAGUUGCUCCCUCGGACUGUCUCUUUGACUUAAAAAUAAUCCGCCAUUUUAGGGUUGCAUUUAGAGGGUGGGGGAUAACACCCCCAUGCGGUUGCCCAACCUCGAACCUCUUAAAGGGGAGCUCAUUUAGCCCUACAAAGGAUACUCACUCUUGAAAGUACGUUUCAUGCCCCAUGUCUUAAAACCCACCUCUGUGUUCCCAUUUGAUGAUUUGCAGUAUUAUGUAGACUUCAUCUGCUAUAAAGACAGAUUUUUUUUUUUUUUUAAAGAAUUUGUAUUUGACUUYAUCUCAGGCCUUCUUAUCAGGGCAGGUGCCGUUUCAUCCACAUGUGGAAAAGUAUCUUGUGUCCACCUGUGUAUUUGGGUAACACCGUCAGUCCAUUAGUUUGUGUGUUUGACGUCUGUAUGCYGUCCACCUGUCAUAAUAGUCCGUUUGUCCAGCUGCUGCUGAACUGCUUAUUUUCCCUCUUAGAGGCCCUCUCGGGUCCAGAUGAGACAGCCUGCAGCUAGCUGGGCCCCUCUGUCGCACACAUCCAUGGAGCUCCACAGGGACGCAGGCUAAAGAACGGGACUCCUCAAUCGUCACGUGUUAACGUCCGAAUCGGAUUUCGAGAUGAGGUCAAAGAUCUGGUAGAGUUAAUGAAGAGCAAAGUUGUUUUGCUUAUGCUUUUUUAUAAGUUAUAAAUAAAAGAAAUGGAAACAUG